GGAGGGGGAUAACUACUGGAAACGGUAGCUAAUACCGCAUAACGUCGCAAGACCAAAGAGGGGGACCUUAGGGCCUCUUGCCAUCGGAUGUGCCCAGAUGGGAUUAGCUAGUAGGUGGGGUAACGGCUCACCUAGGCGACGAUCCCUAGCUGGUCUGAGAGGAUGACCAGCCACACUGGAACUGAGACACGGUCCAGACUCCUACGGGAGGCAGCAGUGGGGAAUAUUGCACAAUGGGCGCAAGCCUGAUGCAGCCAUGCCGCGUGUAUGAAGAAGGCCUUCGGGUUGUAAAGUACUUUCAGCGGGGAGGAAGGGAGUAAAGUUAAUACCUUUGCUCAUUGACGUUACCCGCAGAAGAAGCACCGGCUAACUCCGUGCCAGCAGCCGCGGUAAUACGGAGGGUGCAAGCGUUAAUCGGAAUUACUGGGCGUAAAGCGCACGCAGGCGGUUUGUUAAGUCAGAUGUGAAUCCCCGGGCUCAACCUGGGAACUGCAUCUGAUACUGGCAGGCUUGAGUCUCGUAGAGGGGGGUAGAAUUCCAGGUGUAGCGGUGAAAUGCGUAGAGAUCUGGAGGAAUACCGGUGGCGAAGGCGGCCCCCUGGACGAAGACUGACGCUCAGGUGCGA
RNAcentral lists this ribosomal RNA (625 nucleotides) under uncultured Pseudomonadota bacterium. Its description in RNAcentral is "bacterial SSU rRNA". It matches the Rfam family "Bacterial small subunit ribosomal RNA", at positions 135 to 756 of the family's 1533-position model. The record is from RNAcentral. Lineage: Bacteria; Pseudomonadati; Pseudomonadota.